UAAUACGAAGGGUGCUAGCGUUGUUCGGAAUCACUGGGCGUAAAGCGCGCGUAGGCGGCUUUUCAAGUCAGGGGUGAAAUCCUGGGGCUUAACCCCAGAAUUGCCUUUGAAACUGAAAAGCUAGAGUACUGGAGGGGAUAGCGGAAUUCCUAAUGUAGAGGUGAAAUUCGUAGAUAUUAGGAGGAACACCGGUGGCGAAGGCGGCUAUCUGGACAGUAACUGACGCUCUGGCGCGAAAGCGUGGGGAUCAAACAGGAUUAGAUACCCUGGUAGUCCACGCUGUAAACGAUGGAUGCUAGCCGUUGGGGGGUUACCCCUCAGUGGCGUAGCUAACGCGUUAAGCAUCCCGCCUGGGGAGUACGGUCGCAAGAUUA
This 374-nucleotide ribosomal RNA is filed under the name uncultured bacterium. RNAcentral describes it as "bacterial SSU rRNA". It matches the Rfam family "Bacterial small subunit ribosomal RNA", at positions 521 to 896 of the family's 1533-position model. The record is from RNAcentral.